GAACUCUUCUUCACAUGCAGUUGGCAGACUCCCUGUGCAAGGAAAUCCCAUAGUGCUGGAGCAACAAUGAAAGAAAGAGUCUGCAUAUGCACAUUUGGUGGAUAUAGAGGAUAGCUGCUCAGAUACGCUGUUGCACGCACCUUAAAGCUCUGGCCAUGUGAAUACUGUCGCCCCAAAGCUGAAACAUUCUGGAUUGGCGGGCCAAAAGAGGACGACGUCUCGCCCUCCUCCUUCAUGCGGUCCCCCAAGUGGAAGGUUCCACGUAGCUCAUCUGGAAUAAUAAUACAGGAGCCAAGUGGGAGGCCGAAUGACAGGGACAGAUGCUGGUCUUGCUUCAGCUGUCCAGAUAAUAAGGGCAAAGGGCAGGAAAAUCCCCGACCACCAUUCGGAAGAAUGCACACAGGCCCCCCUUAAGGCAAACAGGGAAUCGGCAGCAAUUCCUUUGCUUCUAAGCCUUGCAGGUCCGCGGAGAAAGCCUUCAAAGUCCUGAAGGAUGGAGAUGCGGGUGGCUGAAGAAUCUCUGGCAGCUGGACAAAACAUCUCAGAGCCUAAAGAUGAGCCUCGGAAGCCGUGAUUUGUCACGAAGACCCGGGGAGCUAAGCUAGAUAGGAUGUUGACGGUGGCAAUUCCACAGUUUCAUCCCUUGGAAACGUAUUUUUAAAAAAUAUCUGGCUGAAUUUCCUACGGAUGGUUCUAUGCUUCCUUUUUAUUCUUUUUUAUAGCUAUUCGUCUAGUUGUGAAUACAUGUAUGUCCAUUUAAACAUUUAAACAAUAUGUCCAUCUGAUCCAUUCUGUCCCUUUAAGUUGUUAACUUGGGGCAAAGCUUUAAAAGGCAGAAUUGUGUGCACAAUAAGUGGG
RNAcentral lists this long non-coding RNA (858 nucleotides) under Salvator merianae (Argentine black and white tegu). Its description in RNAcentral is "lncRNA (ENSSMRG00000001063.1)". The record is from RNAcentral. Lineage: Eukaryota; Metazoa; Chordata; Lepidosauria; Squamata; Teiidae.